This 200-nucleotide long non-coding RNA is filed under the name Capsella grandiflora. RNAcentral's name for it is "long non-coding RNA (CGRA_LNC000851)". Lineage: Eukaryota; Viridiplantae; Streptophyta; Magnoliopsida; Brassicales; Brassicaceae. The record is from RNAcentral.
GCACGUACGUGCGGGAUUGAUUUCAAAAAUAAAAUUUGUUAUAAAAUUUUCAAAUAUAUUAUGUACGUACGGGAUUAUGUUUGUAAACGUAACUUUUAGGAAUUUUAUUAACAUUUAUAAUCUAAACCAGUAUCAAGUCAAUAUUUGAUUUUUAAAAAAAAAUUAGGUUAAACAAAAAAAACGAUACGAUUUAGUUUUAU